GGAGAACGUAUCUGGGGGGUCUCUUUUAUAGACAGGAGAGAGUAACCGAUUGACAGCGAUGUCCAUAACUGCUUGGUAGUGGACCGUUCGGGGCCAUUUGAAGUUUGUUAUGGAGAGUAGUGGUGUCCGUUGUCGCGACUUGUCGAAGAGUGGUGGGGCCACAUGGAGUUUGUUACAGAGAGUGAAGUGGUGUCCGUUGUCGCGACUUAUCGGGGAGUUCAGGCCAGACUGUUGA
This 235-nucleotide long non-coding RNA is filed under the name Elaeis guineensis (African oil palm). RNAcentral's name for it is "long non-coding RNA (EGUI_LNC066143)". The record is from RNAcentral. Lineage: Eukaryota; Viridiplantae; Streptophyta; Magnoliopsida; Arecales; Arecaceae.